Monomorium pharaonis (pharaoh ant) is the source of this 1308-nucleotide long non-coding RNA. RefSeq lists it as uncharacterized. The record is from RefSeq and is a predicted model, not a curated record. The transcript has 2 exons. Lineage: Eukaryota; Metazoa; Arthropoda; Insecta; Hymenoptera; Formicidae.
CUCUCUCUCUCUCUCUCUCUCUCUCUCUCUCUCUCUCUCAAGUUACUCGUAUAUGUUACUUAGUUACAUAGUUUCUCUUUGUUUAAAUUAAAAUUUUAUAAAUGUAAAAUAAUUUGUUUUUUCUUUUCUUUGUAUGUGUUAUGUUAUCUUACUCAACAAAUAUUGCUUACAAUAAAUAAAAGUAACAAUAUUCUAAUUUUUAUAUAGAUGAUAAAAAUGACAAUGAACAGUACAAGAAUUUUAAUAUAAUACACUCCGAAACUUUAAAAGAAAAGAGUGAAGAUGACGUUUUAAAAGUAGAAAGGACCAUACUAUCUACGAACAACGAGAAUGAAGUAUUUCCAAAAUCACCACUAUUUCAAGGACCGGUUGUAUCUAAUCUUGAUAGAGAUUUGCUUCGAAAUGUGUCAAGUAAACUUGAUAUAGUAUUAAUGAACCAACGUCGCAUUUUAAAUGAAAUAUUUCCUGGUGAAGCUAUUUUAGACAGACCCGAAAAUUGUCCCCCUCUUUCAUUACGAGAUAAAAAGUCUUUUGAGGAAUUCAACGAAUUUUUGGAAAAUAAAGUUGCAUUUUCUCAAUUUGUAAGUACAGUUGAUUUUUCAAUUUUUAUUUAUAUUUUGUGUGGUGUACUUACAUAUAUGAUUUAUAUUUAACUUUUAAUAUAUGUGAACUCUUCUUACAUAAUUUUUAAUUCUUGUGUUUUUAAGGUUAGCUAUCUUAAUGCACUUAUUAAUGAUUGUGAUCAGUGGAAUGCUGUUACUCGUCUUAUGUCUAACAUAUUGCACAAUGAACUUGCAAGACAAGUUAGUUGGAAAGGAACCAGAGGAGUGAAAAUUUCUUUUUACGGAACAAGAAUUAAGGAAGCUUUGUUUUGUAAAUGUUUUACGUUUAUCUUUUCUUUUACUUAUUUGAAAUAUUGAGACACUGAUUAUAAAUUAUUAUAUUAAAUUAUAAGAAGCAAGAAAUAAUUUAAAAUUACAUUUUCCAUUUCUUUGUUUGGCAAAUUUUUAAAUAAAUUAAUUUUGAUGAUGUACUAUUAUUUGUUUAUAAUAGAAAGAAUAUUUUAGUAAAACGUAUUAAAACUUGUUUCUGUAUUCGUAUAAUAUAUGAUUACAAAUUGUGAUCAGUAUACGAUUUAUUUUCAUUAAAUAUGUAUAACAUUUAAUUAUUUUAACAAAUUAUUGUAUUUUAUAUAAUAUUUAAUUAUUGUAUAUAACAUUGAAUACAAAUUUUGUGUGUGCAUCUGUACAGAUUUCUUUACUAAGAAAAUAGAAAAAUAAAUUAUCUUUGCUACAUUUUACUAACGUG